Molecule: ribosomal RNA, 564 nt
Filed under: Anguilla reinhardtii (speckled longfin eel)
Lineage: Eukaryota; Metazoa; Chordata; Actinopteri; Anguilliformes; Anguillidae
Description: partial 16S ribosomal RNA
Rfam family: Bacterial large subunit ribosomal RNA
Source: RNAcentral
CACAAAGUUUAACGGCCGCGGUAUCCUGACCGUGCGAAGGUAGCGUAAUCAUUUGUCUUUUAAAUAGAGACCUGUAUGAAUGGCAUAACGAGGGUUUAACUGUCUCCUUCCCCUAGUCAAUGAAAUUGAUCUGUCCGUGCAGAAGCGGACAUAAAUACAUAAGACGAGAAGACCCUAUGGAGCUUUAGACAAAAGAUCAAACAUGUAAAGAAACCAAACUAACCAAAAGGAACACAAAGGCCACAAAACCCAACGUAAACUGAUCCAAAUGUCUUCGGUUGGGGCGACCAUGGGGGAAAGAAAAGCCCCCACGAGGAACAGGGACAACCCCUAAACUAAGAGAGACACCUCUAAGCAACAGAAAAUCUGACCAAAAAUGACCCAGGAUACUUAUCCUGAUCAACGAACCAAGUUACCCUAGGGAUAACAGCGCAAUCCUUUCCCAGAGUCCAUAUCGACGAAAGGGUUUACGACCUCGAUGUUGGAUCAGGACAUCCUAAUGGUGCAGCCGCUAUUAAGGGUUCGUUUGUUCAACGAUUAAUAGUCCUACGUGAUCUGAGUUCA